RNAcentral lists this ribosomal RNA (585 nucleotides) under uncultured bacterium. RNAcentral describes it as "partial 16S ribosomal RNA". It matches the Rfam family "Bacterial small subunit ribosomal RNA", at positions 355 to 1375 of the family's 1533-position model. The record is from RNAcentral.
UGGGGAAUUCUGGACAAUGGGCGAAAGCCUGAUCCAGCAAUGCCGCGUGUGUGAAGAAGGCCUUCGGGUUGUAAAGCACUUUUGUCCGGAAAGAAAUCCUUGGCUCUAAUACAGUCGGGGGAUGACGGUACCGGAAGAAUAAGCACCGGCUAACUACGUGCCAGCAGCCGCGGUAAUACGUAGGGUGCAAGCGUUAAUCGGAAUUACUGGGCGUAAAGCGUGCGCAGGCGGUUUGCUAAGACCGAUGUGAAAUCCCCGGGCUCAACCUGGGAACUGCAUUGGUGACUGGCAGGCUAGAGUAUGGCAGAGGGGGGUAGAAUUCCACGUGUAGCAGUGAAAUGCGUAGAGAUGUGGAGGAAUACCGAUGGCGAAGGCAGCCCCCUGGGCCAAUACUGACGCUCAUGCACGAAAGCGUGGGGAGCAAACAGGAUUAGAUACCCUGGUAGUCCACGCCCUAAACGAUGUCAACUAGUUGUUGGGGAUUCAUUUCCUUAGUAACGUAGCUAACGCGUGAAGUUGACCGCCUGGGGAGUACGGUCGCAAGAUUAAAACUCAAAUGAAUUGACGGGGUCAUAGCUGUUUCCU